RNAcentral lists this small RNA (244 nucleotides) under Arabidopsis thaliana (thale cress). RNAcentral's name for it is "ATSL105510". Lineage: Eukaryota; Viridiplantae; Streptophyta; Magnoliopsida; Brassicales; Brassicaceae. The record is from RNAcentral.
UUUUUUAAAAAACGAUAUUAAGACUUGAAAUUACAUAUAUGACCAAUUUAUGUAAUUUCUUAUUUCUAAAUAUCCAAGAAGUGAGGUAUAUAAAUUGCGUGAAGUGGAGAAACCCUAAAUCGCGCCCAUGAUCCACUCGCUUCCGAAGAGAAGAUGAAAAGGGAUAAGGUUGAGCGUAAGAUUCCCGGGUCCGAGGAUAUGAAAAUACUGAAGAACUGUUUUGUAUAUAUCGUACCUAAUUGUU